AUAUCAAUAAGCGGAGGAAAAGAAACCAACAGGGGAUUGCCCUAGUAACGGCGAGUGAAGCGGCAACAGCUCAAAUUUGAAAUCUGGCUCUCGGGCCCGAGUUGUAAUUUGUAGAGGAUGUUUCUGGCAAGGUGCCUUCCGAGUUCCCUGGAACGGGACGCCAUAGAGGGUGAGAGCCCCGUACGGUUGGUUGCCGCGCCUCUGUGAAACUCCUUCGACGAGUCGAGUAGUUUGGGAAUGCUGCUCUAAAUGGGAGGUAUACGUCUUCUAAAGCUAAAUAUUGGCGAGAGACCGAUAGCGAACAAGUACCGUGAGGGAAAGAUGAAAAGAACUUUGAAAAGAGAGUUAAACAGUGCGUGAAAUUGUUGAAAGGGAAACGUUUGACACCAGUCAUGUGGGUGGAAAAUCAGUCUUUUGCAUUGGGGAGUUGUAAGGGUUCGGACCGCAAGGCCGGCUUUUGCUUCAUCUUUGGUGUAAGUGAUGCACUUUUUCAUCUACAGGUCAACAUCAGUUUCUUUUGCUGGACAAAACUCCGAGAGAAGGUAGCAGCUUAGGCUGUGUUAUAGCUCUGGAGCGAUACAGUGAAGGGGACUGAGGUUUUCGCAGCGUGUGCUCUCGGGCAAGGCUGGAUGGGUGCUAUGGGAUCGUUCGGGGUACAAUGCCUGGCAUUUUGCUUCGUGUCUUUUCUAUACUCGCUCAACUCAGCUCUUCCACGCUUAGGAUGUUGACUUAAUGGUUUUAAACGA
RNAcentral lists this ribosomal RNA (746 nucleotides) under uncultured fungus. Its description in RNAcentral is "eukaryotic LSU rRNA". It matches the Rfam family "Eukaryotic large subunit ribosomal RNA", at positions 40 to 647 of the family's 3401-position model. Lineage: Eukaryota; Fungi. The record is from RNAcentral.